GAUGCAGCACGCCACGUGGUGGGAGAAGCAUUUCGGUGUGUAAACCACUGUCUUGAGGGAAUAAGGCUAAUUUUCGGAUUAGUUGAAUGUACCUCGAGAGGAAGCACCGGCAAACUUCGUG
This 121-nucleotide ribosomal RNA is filed under the name uncultured bacterium. RNAcentral's name for it is "partial 16S ribosomal RNA". It matches the Rfam family "Bacterial small subunit ribosomal RNA", at positions 385 to 507 of the family's 1533-position model. The record is from RNAcentral.